GAUGAACGCUGGCGGCGUGCCUAAUACAUGCAAGUCGAGCGAACGGACGAGAAGCUUGCUUCUCUGAUGUUAGCGGCGGACGAGUGAGUAACACGUGGAUAACCUACCUAUAAGACUGGGAUAACUUCGGGAAACCGGAGCUAAUACCGGAUAAUAUUUUGAACCGCAGGGUUCAAAAGUAAAAGACGGUCUUGCUGUCACUUAUAGAUGGAUCCGCGCUGCAUUAGCUAGUUGGUAAGGUAACGGCUUACCAAGGCAACGAUGCAUAGCCGACCUGAGAGGGUGAUCGGCCACACUGGAACUGAGACACGGUCCAGACUCCUACGGGAGGCAGCAGUAGGGAAUCUUCCGCAAUGGGCGAAAGCCUGACGGAGCAACGCCGCGUGAGUGAUGAAGGUCUUCGGAUCGUAAAACUCUGUUAUUAGGGAAGAACAUAUGUGUAAGUAACUGUGCACAUCUUGACGGUACCUAAUCAGAAAGCCACGGCUAACUACGUG
This 497-nucleotide ribosomal RNA is filed under the name uncultured bacterium. Its description in RNAcentral is "partial 16S ribosomal RNA". It matches the Rfam family "Bacterial small subunit ribosomal RNA", at positions 28 to 507 of the family's 1533-position model. The record is from RNAcentral.